RNAcentral lists this ribosomal RNA (442 nucleotides) under Myxococcales bacterium. Its description in RNAcentral is "partial 23S ribosomal RNA". It matches the Rfam family "Bacterial large subunit ribosomal RNA", at positions 2485 to 2925 of the family's 2925-position model. Lineage: Bacteria; Pseudomonadati; Myxococcota; Myxococcia; Myxococcales. The record is from RNAcentral.
AUCUCCUCCAAGAGUUCACAUCGACGAGGAGGUUUGGCACCUCGAUGUCGGCUCAUCGCAUCCUGGGGCUGGAGCAGGUCCCAAGGGUUUGGCUGUUCGCCAAUUAAAGCGGUACGCGAGCUGGGUUCAAAACGUCGUGAGACAGUUUGGUCCCUAUCUUCCGUGGGCGUAGGAGGCUUGAGAGGAUCUGACCUUAGUACGAGAGGACCGGGUUGGACGCACCUCUGGUGUACCAGUUGUCACGCCAGUGGCAUCGCUGGGUAGCCAUGUGCGGAUUGGAUAACCGCUGAAAGCAUCUAAGCGGGAAACCGACCUCAAGAUUUGGCCUCCCGGGGGCAACCCCCUGAAGACCCGAUGGAGACUACGUCGUUGAUAGGCCGGAUGUGUAAGCGCGGUAACGCGUUCAGCUAACCGGUACUAAUCGGUCGUGAGGCUUACAUUA